This 308-nucleotide ribosomal RNA is filed under the name uncultured bacterium. Its description in RNAcentral is "partial 16S ribosomal RNA". It matches the Rfam family "Bacterial small subunit ribosomal RNA", at positions 505 to 809 of the family's 1533-position model. The record is from RNAcentral.
GAGACAGCAGUAGCCGCGGUAAUACGAAGGGUGCAAGCGUUACUCGGAAUUACUGGGCGUAAAGCGUGCGUAGGUGGUGGUUUAAGUCCGUUGUGAAAGCCCUGGGCUCAACCUGGGAAUUGCAGUGGAUACUGGGUCACUAGAGUGUGGUAGAGGAUAGUGGAAUUUCCGGUGUAGCAGUGAAAUGCGUAGAGAUCGGAAGGAACAUCUGUGGCGAAGGCGACUAUCUGGGCCAACACUGACACUGAGGCACGAAAGCGUGGGGAGCAAACAGGAUUAGAUACCCCAGUAGCCCUGUCUCUUAUACA